This is a long non-coding RNA of Peromyscus californicus insignis, 2139 nucleotides long. RefSeq lists it as uncharacterized. NCBI's taxonomy places the organism in Eukaryota, Metazoa, Chordata, Mammalia, Rodentia, Cricetidae. The transcript is spliced from 3 exons. The record is from RefSeq and is a predicted model, not a curated record.
GAGACCAACCCAAAGAGGAUUUGGUCCAAGGACACAGGUCCAAGGUACAGAUGGAGUUUGGCUCCUGAGUGACAUGUCUGAGCUUCCUCCUGAUGGACAUCAAGCAGCUUCUUCUCCAGCUACCAAAUUCUGUACUUCCUGCCAGUCAACAAGUAAAGAGAUGUGACCAGGGGAUGAGAAAGAGCCUGAGAAGUUUGGUCAGCUGCACAAUCCUUUCCAAAGCUCCGAAUUUGAUGCUGACAAUGGCAAGGCAGAGGGGCUGGCCCCAGGAGCUGUAACUGCCCUGAACCCUGUAGGCUUCUGGCUUGGGAUGGAGUAGGAAGCCUGGAGCCAGGGGAAGGAAAGAGAUGAGAGGAGCCACACUGCAAAAAUCAAAGAACCUGUCAGCCAGGAUAACCCCAAAGCCCGGAGCCCGAGAACUUCCCUUUCAGUGUUCUCCUUUCACAUGUCCACGUGACAAAUGUAUUUACCCCUUUCUGUGAAACCUAAACCCUCGGUCUUCCCCACAACUACUCCAAUUCCCUUGCCUAAAAGAAACUGCCCUAUGACUUAAGUUAAUUUUGGAUUAAGUCAAUUUCGUAUGGCCGGGAGCAACAACUCAUGCCUGAAAUCCCAGCGUUUAGGAAUAGAAUUGAUGUGAAUGUGAGGGCCAUAUAGUGAAUUCCAGGCCAUUCUGAGCUACAGAUUGAGAUGGUGUCUCAAUCAAAACAAAAAUCUUAAUAAGGAGAGAAAAGGGGGGAAGGGGAAGAAAGAGGGAGGUAAGUUAGCUUGCUUUUGUAUAAACCAACAAAGAAACUGUACCAAGCUCCUCACCUCUCCCUAGUAUCCACCUUCUCUUCAGGAGAGGAGAGACAAUGGAGUUCAGUACAGGGAUGCAUGGACGACACAGUGUCUGAAAAUGAAGUGUAAAUUCCAACCAGACUAUGACAGAGCUGCCUCUUUGUCUCGCCUAAGUCAAUUCAAACUCAAACCUUUGAGACAGCCAUACUCGGGAUAUGGGAAUUUAUUGUCUGUCGGACCAUAACCAGGACCUGAAAGUCUCAAUUAAAACUGCCACUGAGAACUCUGGGUCAUGGCAGCUGGCAGAAAGGCCCUUCUGGGUCCCUGACGCCAACCACAAGCACAGCCACUAAAACAGUGGAUGAUUAUGAAUAUUGUUUGCUCUCUGUGUCUGUCCUUAAAAGAUAAUCUAAAUAGCCUUCCUUCAGUAAUGUGGGCUUCAAAAUUAAGUCUAUAAAGUAAGAAUGUUAGAUAAGGAAUCUUUUCUGAAAGCAAUCAUUUAUUCCAAAUUGUACUUUGAAAUUAUUUCAACCUUGUUUGUCAAGAUACUAUCACUUUGAGAACCCUUGAAUUUGAAAAAAGCAGAAUCAAAUGGUGAUCAGCAAUUUAAGAUUCAAACAAUACUUGACUCCCCAGAGCCUGGUCCUUAAGCUGGUUCUAUCUCUAUGUGAGAAAUGGACUUGUCCUGUUAGAGUUUUAGCAGGUUGAACCUCUCACCUCCCCGGCCACUGUCCUAACUGAAGAAAUGUCACACUUUCUGUGACCUCUGUUUGAGAAUGUGGCGUAGAGCAGAGACCUUGUGAACUCAUUUCUAGUCCACCAGGAGGCUGAGGACCCUACACUCUGAGAUGCCACUGCCGUGGGGAACCCUAAUCUGCAGAGCAGAACCCACUCACCGUGAGCUGAGGCUCUCUGGAGAGCUGUGUCUGUGUGACGGAUCCUGCAGGCUGCUUUCCCUGGACUGAGCACGACGCUGAGACUGGAGAUGAGACAUUACAAGCCAACUGCUAGAAUUACCUUGGACCUUCUUUAGCCCUUUCUUAUGUAUUAUUGUCCCUUCUAGCCAGCUUCCGCCUCUGAUUUAACACCCUUGCUUUGAGAUAAAGCUCUUGGGUUUUAUCGUUAAACUCAAAGAAGCUCUGUUCUCCACCAAGCUGAAAGCUGAAAAUGUGAUCAAAGAGAUUUCCCUGCCUUGCUGCAGCGCUUCUGCUCAAUAACCCACAAGUGUAUCCUGUAGGUUCAUGACUUUGUCACUUUUCUUUUGUUCUGUGAUCACAUCAGCUCAUGCAAUCUCUUCCAGGGUGGAACAUGUCUUUCAAGGAAACUGGAAUUCAGGUCCCCAAGCUACUAUCUGGCCCA